Long non-coding RNA from Dendronephthya gigantea, 586 nucleotides. RefSeq lists it as uncharacterized. The record is from RefSeq and is a predicted model, not a curated record. NCBI's taxonomy places the organism in Eukaryota, Metazoa, Cnidaria, Anthozoa, Malacalcyonacea, Nephtheidae. The transcript has 3 exons.
AUCGGAAUAAUCUCAUCCAGACAAGCUUUGAAGAGAUCGCAUUCCUUGGUGAAUACAGAAGAACAUUGCAAGUUCAAUUUUACGGCGAGGUAUGUAACAAAGCAUUAAUAACAAAAUGUUAAGCAUCCCUUCCACACCACCGGUUUGACACUAUUGAUUAUGUCUUAUUAAAUACUGUUUUGUGUUGUAUGUGACUAUUUGUUUAUAUUACAUUUCAAUAUGCUAUCCAAAACUAGGUGGCUGAAGAUUAUGGAGGACCACGAAAAGAAUUCUUUAGAUUGAUCCUAGGUGAAAUUAAAGAGACUUACUUUGACAACGGCCUAAGAGAAUUGUUGAGGGAAACAUAUACAAUCAUUGGAAUAAUAUUAGGAUUGAGUAUAAUUCAAAAUGGAAAAAUUCCAGUUUUCCUUGGUGAAGACAUUGUAAAAAAAGUUUUUUCUGAAACAUCAUCUGAAGCAUGUAUUGCUGAACUGCAAGAAGGUUUUAAGAAAGUUGGAAUCUACCAGCUUGGGUGUCUACUACCGACAUUUUUGGAAAUAUUCAAGCGUCCACCAUACACUUUGACAGUCAGAAGUUUGGUCAGUUU